Non-coding RNA from Callithrix jacchus (white-tufted-ear marmoset), 940 nucleotides. NCBI's taxonomy places the organism in Eukaryota, Metazoa, Chordata, Mammalia, Primates, Cebidae. The record is from RefSeq and is a predicted model, not a curated record.
GUCACUGGGGAAACCGCCGUCCUAGCAGCUGCGCGCGCAGUUUGAACCAAUGCCCCUUGCGCGACAACGGCCUCAGAACGCCAGUUGUGGCCGACGUGUCUCGGAGACGCAGAGACGCCAAGGCCCCUGCGACCAGGUGGCUGCAGCUAGGCCGGAGGCGUCAGGACGACGGAGCGACUUCCGGUCGUUGGCGCGCAGGCCUGAGGGAGCUGGGCCCCCCUUUUCCGCCCGCGCCCCAGGCCCUUGCAGACCGGGAUUCGCGUCCUGGAGUGAGAAGGAAGCAGUGCCCAGGCCGCCGAUUUUAUUUGGAGAAAAGCAAGCAUCUUUGACUCUUUGGAGUAGGAAAUUCAGACUUGGAAAAGAAGUUGGAAAAAAAUUCCUCCUGAUGGACAUUUGACAAGAGAAACAGAAGUAUGUUGCUGAGAAAUGAGUAGCAUCAAGUCAGGAACAGGAGGAACAAAGGGACUCCUGCCUUUGCUGCUGAUCCACCAGAACAGCCAUCAGACUCCUCAGCCUGCUGCUGGCUCAUCAGCUGCGCCUGAGCUGGCUGUGGGAUCCUGAGUGUGGUGUGGGGUUGACUGUUUCUCACCAUGUCUUCUCACAAGACUUUCAUCAUUAAGCGAUUCCUGGCCAAGAAACAAAAGCAAAAUCGUCCCAUUCCCCAGUGGAUUCAGAUGAAAACUGGUAAUAAAAUCAGGUACAACUCCAAAAGGAGACAUUGGAGAAGAACCAAGCUGGGUCUAUAAGGAAUUGCACAUGAGAUGGCAUGCAUAUUUAUGCUGUAUCAAGAUCAUGAUCGUCUUACAAUAUCAGGCUGAAAUGUCACCACUAUCUGGACUGUUGCAUGUUUUACUUGGAAUAUAUCUUUCUCUUUGUGUAUAUGCUCUGUGCUAGUAAGGUGGAUUCAGCAAUAAAUAUAUGAAAGCCUUUGUUUCAAAAA